Lolium perenne is the source of this 365-nucleotide non-coding RNA. NCBI's taxonomy places the organism in Eukaryota, Viridiplantae, Streptophyta, Magnoliopsida, Poales, Poaceae. The record is from RefSeq and is a predicted model, not a curated record.
CUUAUCUCCUGAAGAAUCUAGUAACGGUCUGUCUGAAAAUCGCAGCAGCACGAAACGAUCUUUCUCUCCAAGACUGAAUGAGGAUGUCCACUUGGUUCUGAAGUGCAAGCAACAGCCAGCAGGUUGCGUUGGUUUACAGUGUGUUGUGGUCCUGGAGCCUGGAAGAAGUAAAAGAAAUAUGUAUGUGAUGGCUUUUUGGCAGUGUCGUGUCUGCUUCAAAGAAUGAACAAAAGAGCAACAGAGAGGAAAGACGACAGAGAUUCUAGGAGGGAAGUAGAAGAACCUGGCUAAGUUGGGUGUUCUCCAGGAUGGAUUCUGCAUCAACAAUCGACAUCCUCUUCCAUCUAGAUCAUGGAGGGUUUUCC